CGGCGGACGGGUGAGUAACGCGUGGGUAACCUGCCUCAUACAGGGGGAUAACAGUUGGAAACGGCUGCUAAUACCGCAUAAGCGCACAGUACCGCAUGGUACCGUGUGAAAAACUCCGGUGGUAUGAGAUGGACCCGCGUCUGAUUAGCUAGUUGGUGAGGUAACGGCCUACCAAGGCGACGAUCAGUAGCCGACCUGAGAGGGUGACCGGCCACAUUGGGACUGAGACACGGCCCAAACUCCUACGGGAGGCAGCAUG
RNAcentral lists this ribosomal RNA (259 nucleotides) under uncultured bacterium. RNAcentral's name for it is "partial 16S ribosomal RNA". It matches the Rfam family "Bacterial small subunit ribosomal RNA", at positions 96 to 353 of the family's 1533-position model. The record is from RNAcentral.